GGAGGAGUACCCAAGUGGUUCAAGGGGGCGGUUUGCUAAACCGUUAGGUCGGGGUAACCCGGCGCGUGGGUUCAAAUCCCACCUCCUCCG
This 90-nucleotide transfer RNA is filed under the name Candidatus Margulisiibacteriota bacterium. RNAcentral describes it as "tRNA-Ser". It matches the Rfam family "tRNA". From Rfam's summary of the family: Transfer RNA (tRNA) molecules are approximately 80 nucleotides in length. Their secondary structure includes four short double-helical elements and three loops (D, anti-codon, and T loops). Further hydrogen bonds mediate the characteristic L-shaped molecular structure. tRNAs have two regions of fundamental functional importance: the anti-codon, which is responsible for specific mRNA codon recognition, and the 3' end, to which the tRNAs corresponding amino acid is attached (by aminoacyl-tRNA synthetases). tRNAs cope with the degeneracy of the genetic code in two manners: having more than one tRNA (with a specific anti-codon) for a particular amino acid; and 'wobble' base-pairing, i.e. permitting non-standard base-pairing at the 3rd anti-codon position. The record is from RNAcentral. Lineage: Bacteria; Bacillati; Candidatus Margulisiibacteriota.